This 253-nucleotide ribosomal RNA is filed under the name uncultured bacterium. RNAcentral describes it as "partial 16S ribosomal RNA". It matches the Rfam family "Bacterial small subunit ribosomal RNA", at positions 524 to 776 of the family's 1533-position model. The record is from RNAcentral.
UACGGAGGGUGCAAGCGUUAUCCGGAUUCACUGGGUUUAAAGGGUGCGUAGGUGGGAUGGUAAGUCAGUGGUGAAAUCUCCGAGCUUAACUUGGAAACUGCCGUUGAUACUAUCAUUCUUGAAUCUCGUGGAGGUAAGCGGAAUAUGUCAUGUAGCGGUGAAAUGCUUAGAUAUGACAUAGAACACCGAUAGCGAAGGCAGCUUGCUACACGAGUAUUGACACUGAGGCACGAAAGCGUGGGGAUCAAACAGG